GAAAAACCGCCCUCAUGAUUCUAUUACCUCUACCUGGUCCGGCACUUUACAAGUGGAGAUUAUUACAAUUCAGGAUGAGAUUUUAGAAUCAUCUCUCCUGCCAAGGAAGUAGUGAAGCUGAUGAGAAGUGAGCACCUUUGUGUUUACUUUGAAGUGCCAGAACCCUGCAGUAUAACCUCAACCUUAGUGCAAGUGAUGCUGGGAAAUAUCUUCCUUCAUAACCACAAGGAGAAAUAUAGCAUAAGAUUCGAGAAUACCACAGCAUUACCAUUGCAACUUUACUUUUUGCAGAAGCCAAGAGGAUAAAGAAGAUUAUCUUACUGAAUGACAACCCCCACAUCUCAUGAAACUGCAGAAUUGUAUGAAUAUUUCACACAUAAGAACUUGUGGCCUAAGAAAAUAACAAAAUAACUAGAAAACAUG
This is a long non-coding RNA of Gorilla gorilla gorilla (western lowland gorilla), 423 nucleotides long. RefSeq lists it as uncharacterized. The record is from RefSeq and is a predicted model, not a curated record. NCBI's taxonomy places the organism in Eukaryota, Metazoa, Chordata, Mammalia, Primates, Hominidae. The transcript is spliced from 4 exons.